UGGGGAGUCGUCCAACGGUAAGACAGCGGACUUUGAAUCCGUUUAUCCUGGUUCGAAUCCAGGCUCCCCAG
This 71-nucleotide transfer RNA is filed under the name Desulfobulbaceae bacterium. It matches the Rfam family "tRNA". Rfam says of the family: Transfer RNA (tRNA) molecules are approximately 80 nucleotides in length. The record is from Rfam by way of RNAcentral. Lineage: Bacteria; Pseudomonadati; Thermodesulfobacteriota; Desulfobulbia; Desulfobulbales; Desulfobulbaceae.